GGCGCGCGGGCGGGGCCCCUGACUCCUGCGCCUCCUGUUUCGGGGCUUGUUGGAGAGGUACCCUGUGCUUCAGCCAGCCUGUCUACUCACUUCCCUGAAUGCUCCUACGUGAUUUCCUGCUUCUUCACCUUUGCUUAUGCUAUUCUCUCUGCCUGGAAUGCUACCCCUGACUCAUCUGCAGCUGGUAUAGUGGAGAGCUUGGGCUUUGGAGUCAGAGAGACCUGGGUUCGGAUCGUGGCUUCACAACUUAAGUGUGUGACUUUGGACAAGUACCUUGAACAAGUGUUUAACGUCUUUGAACCUCAGUUUUAUAAUCUGUAAAAAUGGAAAUAAUGACACCUACCUUGCAGGGUUGUUGUAAGGAUUAAAUGAAAUUAUGUAUACAAAGCAAUGGACAUAUAGUUAAUAAAAAGAUAGAUCGCUGUUAUUUCUA
Myotis brandtii (Brandt's bat) is the source of this 433-nucleotide long non-coding RNA. RefSeq lists it as uncharacterized. NCBI's taxonomy places the organism in Eukaryota, Metazoa, Chordata, Mammalia, Chiroptera, Vespertilionidae. The record is from RefSeq and is a predicted model, not a curated record. The transcript is spliced from 2 exons.